Molecule: ribosomal RNA, 459 nt
Filed under: uncultured bacterium
Lineage: Bacteria
Description: partial 16S ribosomal RNA
Rfam family: Bacterial small subunit ribosomal RNA
Source: RNAcentral
CCUACGGGUGGCAGCAGUGGGGAAUAUUGGUCAAUGAGCGGGAGCCUGAACCAGCGACACCGCGUGAGCGAAGAAGGUACAGCGUAUCGUAAACCUCUUUUGUCGGGGAACAAAGGCGGGGACUAGUCCCCUGAUGAGGGUACCUGAAGAAAAAGCAUCGGCUAACGCAGUGCCAGCAGCCGCGGUACGACGGAGGAUGCGAGCGUUAUCCGGAUUUAUUGGGUUUAAAGGGUGCGCAGGCGGCUUGUUAAGUCAGCGGUAAAAGCCCGGGGCUCAACCCCGGCGAGCGGUUGAAACGGGCGAGCUGGAGUUGGAGAGAAGUACGCGGAAUGCGCGGUGUAGCGGUGAAAUGCUUAGAUAUCGCGCAGAACCCCGAUGGCGAAGGCAGCGUACCGGCUCCACACUGACGCUGAGGCACGAAAGCGUGGGUAUCGAACAGGAUUAGAUACCCGGGUAGUC